Molecule: unclassified non-coding RNA, 2831 nt
Filed under: Patiria miniata (bat star)
Lineage: Eukaryota; Metazoa; Echinodermata; Asteroidea; Valvatida; Asterinidae
Description: uncharacterized LOC119719454, transcript variant X1
Source: RNAcentral
UGUGUUAUUUAUCGUUUUUCUCUCUUUUCUCUGUUUUGCAGAAAAUGGUGAAGACGCUGAAGAAGACGAGCUGUGACGUUCUUUCAACUUCCCUGAGGUUGGCACCUCCUCAGGGAAGACGCCUGCCUGUGUUUCACAGGCAGUGCGCAAACCAGCUGGUACACGCAGACUGUGUACUCGUACUCGGAGAACAAAGGUUCCAGCGUGUUCCUUGUUCUCACUGGGAGGGUACUGGGGCCAGCGUGCCCUUCAGCUGGAUUAAUCUUGAGAAAAGAUGCACAGAUAACAUGAGAAAACAUGAGAUUAAACAGAGAGAAUAUGAACAGAAACUAAACAGGAAAUAUGACUUGAAACUGAGAGCAUAUGAGUAUAAUCACAGAGCAUACGAGUUUAACCUGAGAAGCCACAUCGAUGAUACUGAGCCUAGAUGCAGUGACUAUCUUGUGCAGAGAAGAAGGGUGAGUGAACUGAAGAUGCGGAGAAUCAACAAAAUGACAAAGCAGAGAGUAAGUAAUCAGAAAGCAUUGAGAAGCUUGAAGGUAAGCAGACAAACAUGCUGUAGCAGAAGUCAGGUAUUGGAAAGUUAUGUAGAGUACUGUCAAGAGGCAAAGAAGGUUUCUAAACCAAAUAGAAAGAAAAUGAGAAGAAGCCAACGUAGACAGGCCUACCACAGAAUGAGGAAUGGUAAGAUGAUCGAAUUGCGCAUGAGUAAGGAGGACAGAAGAAACCAGAAGAAUGCCCAGAAGAAUUUACAAAGUCACACUAGAAGAAGUUUGAGUAAUGUCUUGAACAACAUGCCAGAUAAGGGAGACAAAUGCAUAGUGCAGAAACACAGCAGAUAUCAGUGUAAACCAUGGAGAUCACAAAAGAAGAGUAAAUUUGCAAAGAGAUCGAAUGUAAAUGAAAUUCAAGACAAGCAGUGCUGGUUGUGCGAUAAGAGUAUUAAUUCAUCUGAAAACAACGUGCAGUGUGAUGGCUGUGACAUUUGGUAUCAUGUGCAUUGUAUGAAUUUCUCAAAGAUGAAACAGCUGUUGAGCAACAAAGCUGUGACAUGGUUGUGCAGAAAAUGUGGGAGGAGUACUUAUUCUGAGUCUCUGUUAUGUAAUCUUGGUAUUCCAACAGAUGAUAACAUGUAUGAGUUGACAGUUCAGGAGACAUGCACCGAUGAUGUGGUCAGAGAGAGGUCCGUGAAUGGAAUGUGCAGGAAGGACAGCAACAAAGACAAUCAGAGAAAAAAUAAACCAGCAAGGUUGCCAAGUCAGUGAAGGAACAAGUCUGUUGAAACGUGUUGCUACUUGGCAAGAUGUACACAGAAUUUGUGCAUGUGUGACGUGGACGUCAUUGAAGAGAAGACUACCCCUUUGUUGGAAACUGACUAUUCAAACUAUUUGCACAGUUUAUAUUUUUCAAGCCCACCUAUAGCAUUACUAUGAUGUGAAGGACAGCUAAUCACCUCUCAACCAAGCCCGAGUUCUGUCAGCCACCUCUUGCAUCACUGUGAUGUCACAGGCUACUAAUCACAGUCUGUCAUCCAAGCCCAAGUACUGUACGUGAGUCAUCUCUUGUACCACUAUGUCUAAGGCUACUAAUCACCUGUCAACCAUGCCUGAGUUCUGUCAGCCACCUCUUGCAUCACUGUGAUGUCACAGGCUACUUAUCACAGUCUGUCAUCCAAGCCCAAGUACUGUACGUGAGUCAUCUCUUGUACCACCAUGUCCGAGGCUACUAAUCAUCUGUCCACCAUGCCCGAGUUCUGUCAGCCACCUCUUGCAUCACUGUAUUUAUUUAACGCCUGCUUAUCACCGUUCAUCCCAUCAUGAAUAUUGUGAGCCAUCUCUUGCAUCACCCGCCAUUAAAGGCAGAGUUCUAUGAGUUACCUUGUGCAUCACUAUGAUGUCAAAGGCUGUUAUUACCCCCUAUCCAAGUCCAACUGCUGUGAGUCACUUUGUUCAUCACCGUGAUGUCAAAGGCUACUUAUCACCUGUCAUGCAAGCCAGACUGCUGUAUGUCACCUGGGAAAUGACAAAGCCUCAAAUGUUUCUGAUAUCUCAAACAAGUGUUAGUUCUGUGAUCUCAAGACUAUAUGUGUGAGCCUUUGUCCUGUCGUCAAACUCUUGUAUAAACAUGUGAUGAUAAAGGCUUUUAUCAUUUGUCUAACAGGCCUAAUUUCUGUCUGCCAGCUCUUGUAUCAGCGUGAUGUUAAACAUGUUAAAGGCUAUUAGUUUGUAAUCCAGUUUGGAGUACGCCCUUACAUUUAGUCCAAAUUAUGUAUGUGUUGAAAAUCAUUUCACACUUGUAGAGUUUAAGACUGUGAGGCUUAAUGUUCACAGUAUCCGUGGAAUCUGUCGGUUACACUGCAAAGUGACAUAUUUGUGCUGUGUUCAUUCAUCAUCAUACAGAUACUGUUGGAUGAAAGCUUCUAGGUUAAUACAAAUUGAAAGUCUCUUUGAAUAAGGACGUUAAUUUGUAAACUAAGCAGUACAUUUCCUUUGAGGGAAGCAUUCGGGAAAAGAAGCAGCUUAUACCUUGUAUUCAUGUUUUCUAAAUGCAACUGAGUUUAAUCAAAACUUUUCAUAAAAAAAGGUAUAAGUUAAUGUUAUUUAAUUGAUAACAGUUGUAAUGUUGUACACCUUAAAGUACAUUGUACAAACAAAUAUAGAUCAAAGUGUCAUGUUACAAUCCAUUUUGCUUCCUUCACUGUCAGAAAUUUGUGUACAUCCAACAUUGGAAUAUUGUUUUAUUUGUUAAUGUAUAUCUAUUUAGUAUAUACAUUUCGUUUGUAUUUUUUCUGUGAAAGCGAAGGGGAAAUAAAUAUUAAUCAAUUGAAGUGA